Molecule: unclassified non-coding RNA, 391 nt
Filed under: soil metagenome
Description: partial contains 5.8S ribosomal RNA, internal transcribed spacer 2, and large subunit ribosomal RNA
Rfam family: 5.8S ribosomal RNA (bases 1-122)
Source: RNAcentral
GAUGAAGAACGCAGCGAAAUGCGAUACUUGGUGUGAAUUGCAGAAUCCCGUGAACCAUCGAGUCUUUGAACGCAAGUUGCGCCCGAAGCCAUUAGGCCGAGGGCACGCCUGCCUGGGCGUCACACGUCGUUGCCCCCCCAUCUACUCCUUCGGGAUUGCGGGGGGCGGAUGAUGGCCUCCCGUGCGCCUCGUCGCGCGGUUGGCCUAAAUGCCAAGUCCUCGGCGACGCACGCCACGACAAUCGGUGGUUGCGAAACCUCGGUUGCCUGUCGUGUGCGGUCGUCGCGCAUCGAGGGCUCGAAAAAAUUGCCGGGCUUCGGCUCGACUUUCAACGCGACCCCAGGUCAGGUGGGGUUACCCGCUGAAUUUAAGCAUAUCAAUAAGCGGAGGA